RNAcentral lists this ribosomal RNA (332 nucleotides) under uncultured bacterium. Its description in RNAcentral is "bacterial SSU rRNA". It matches the Rfam family "Bacterial small subunit ribosomal RNA", at positions 568 to 898 of the family's 1533-position model. The record is from RNAcentral.
UACGCAGGCGGUUUGGUAAGUCAGAGGUGAAAGCCCACAGCUUAACUGUGGCACUGCCUUUGAUACUGCCUUUCUUGAGUAGAGUAGGGGGAAGCGGAAUUCCGAGUGUAGAGGUGAAAUUCGUAGAUAUUCGGAGGAACACCGGUGGCGAAGGCGGCUUCCUGGACUCUAACUGACGCUCAUGUACGAAAGCGUGGGUAGCAAACAGGAUUAGAUACCCUGGUAGUCCACGCCCUAAACGAUGGGCACUAGGUGUGGGAGGUAUCGACCCCUUCCGUGCCGCAGCUAACGCAUUAAGUGCCCCGCCUGGGGAGUACGGCCGCAAGGUUGAA